RNAcentral lists this small RNA (328 nucleotides) under uncultured bacterium. RNAcentral describes it as "bacterial SSU rRNA". It matches the Rfam family "Bacterial small subunit ribosomal RNA", at positions 68 to 358 of the family's 1533-position model. The record is from RNAcentral.
UGAACCUUGCUGUAAAGCGAGGGGAUCAGUGGCGCACGGGUGAGUAGCACGUAGGUGACCUGCCCCAAAGAGGGGAAUAACUUCGCGAAAGCGUAGCUAAUACCCCAUGUGCUCGGCCAUUCGUUUGGUCGAUGAAAGCUUGAGCGAAAGCUCCGGUGCUUUGGGAGGGGCCUGCGGCCCAUCAGCUAGUUGGUAGGGUAAUGGCCUACCAAGGCGAAGACGGGUAGCUGGUCUGAGAGGAUGAUCAGCCACAAUGGCACUGAAACACGGGCAAUACUCCUACGGGAUUCUGCAGUGGGUAUUUCUAGAAAUCUCCUACAUAUCUCAG